RNAcentral lists this ribosomal RNA (253 nucleotides) under uncultured bacterium. Its description in RNAcentral is "partial 16S ribosomal RNA". It matches the Rfam family "Bacterial small subunit ribosomal RNA", at positions 524 to 776 of the family's 1533-position model. The record is from RNAcentral.
UACGUAGGUGACAAGCGUUGUCCGGAUUUACUGGGCGUAAAGCGCACGCAGGUGGCUGAGUAAGUCGAUUGUGAAAGCCCUGGGCUUAACCUGGGAAUUGCAGUCGAUACUGCUCGGCUAGAGUAUGGGAGAGGGUAGUGGAAUUCCCGGUGUAGCGGUGAAAUGCGUAGAUAUCGGGAGGAACAUCAGUGGCGAAGGCGGCUACCUGGCCCAAUACUGACACUCAGGUGCGACAGCGUGGGGAGCAAACAGG